UUUUAGUAGCCCUCUAAACGCCGACGUUUCAAAUUAUCUGAAGACGGAGAGAAGAGAGAUGGCAGCGUUGAUGAACUCCGUCGUAGUCAGAGCUCUGACGUUUUCGCCGGCGGCGAAUCUUCCAUGGAAUAGAACCAACGGAUUCCCGUCACGGUGGGUGAGAUCGUUCUCGGCUAUGAUGUCUCCGCCUUCGAAGGCCGUGGUUUACGACCUCCACGGCCCUCCCGAUUCCGUCACCAGAGUGGUUGAGCUUCCGCCGGUGGAAAUGAGAGAAAAUGAUGUGUGCGUUAAAAUGCUCGCGGCGCCGAUCAAUCCUUCCGAUAUCAAUAGAAUCGAAGGUGUGUACCCGGUUAGACCACCAGUGCCAGCAGUUGGUGGGUAUGAAGGUGUCGGGGAAGUAUAUGCUGUUGGCUCCAGUGUCAAGCGUUUUGCACCGGGUGACUGGGUUAUCCCAUCCCCACUCUCUUCAGGGACUUGGCAGACAUAUGUUGUGAAGGAGGAGAAUGUGUGGCACAAAAUCGACAAAGCUUCUCCAAUGGAGUAUGCCGCAACAAUUACAGUUAACCCAUUGACGGCUUUAAGAAUGCUUGAGGACUUUGUGACCCUAAAAUCAGGAGAUUGUAUCGUACAAAAUGGUGCAACAAGCAUUGUGGGGCAGUGCGUCAUCCAGUUAGCAAGACUACGUGGCAUCAGUAGCAUCAACAUAAUACGUGACAGGGUUGGGUCACAUGAAGCGAAAGAGAAGCUGAAAUCUCUGGGUGCGGAUGAAGUGCUCUCUGAAAGUCAGCUUGAUGUGAAGAACGUGAAGGGGCUGUUUGGAAACUUGCCCGAACCUGCUCUUGGAUUCAAUUGUGUUGGUGGAAAUGCUGCUUCUCUCGUGCUAAAAUUCCUGAGGGAAGGAGGGACCAUGGUAACAUAUGGUGGGAUGUCUAAGAAACCGAUCACUGUAUCAACAACAUCUUUCAUUUUUAAGGUAAGGAUUUGUCAUUGAGAGGGUUCUGGCUGCAGAAGUGGAUGAGUAUGGGGAAAGCAAAAGAGUGCAGAGAGAUGAUAGACUAUCUACUCGAGCUUGCACGAGACAGGAAGCUAAAAUACGAGGUGGAAAUGGUUCCAUUCGAAGAGUUCCACAAGGCUCUUGACAAAGCUAUGGGGAAGCAAGGGAGCCAACCUAAACAAGUCAUCAGGUUCUGAAGCUUUUCUUCUCUGUUUAGUAGUUUUGCUUCAUCUACCUGUCUCUUAAGAAACUUCGAAUAUGGCAAACAAUAAAGAAGCACUAAAUAAUAAACUGCUCAUUACGAAUUUUUAUUAUAUAUUUUUUUA
Molecule: RNA transcript, 1320 nt
Organism: Tarenaya hassleriana
Lineage: Eukaryota; Viridiplantae; Streptophyta; Magnoliopsida; Brassicales; Cleomaceae
Gene name: probable trans-2-enoyl-CoA reductase, mitochondrial
Exons: 10
Source: RefSeq, a predicted model, not a curated record